RNAcentral lists this ribosomal RNA (478 nucleotides) under uncultured bacterium. RNAcentral's name for it is "partial 16S ribosomal RNA". It matches the Rfam family "Bacterial small subunit ribosomal RNA", at positions 28 to 523 of the family's 1533-position model. The record is from RNAcentral.
GACGAACGCUGGCGGCGUGCUUAACACAUGCAAGUCGAACGGUAAGGCCCUUCGGGGUACACGAGUGGCGAACGGGUGAGUAACACGUGGGUGAUCUACCCUGCACUUCGGGAUAAGCCUGGGAAACUGGGUCUAAUACCGGAUAGGACCACUGCCUGCAUGGGUGGUGGUGGAAAGCUUUUGCGGAGUGGGAUGGGCCCGCGGCCUAUCAGCUUGUCGGUGGGGUGAUGGCCUACCAAGGCGACGACGGGUAGCCGGCCUGAGAGGGUGACCGGCCACACUGGGACUGAGAUACGGCCCAGACUCCUACGGGAGGCAGCAGUGGGGAAUAUUGCACAAUGGGCGCAAGCCUGAUGCAGCGACGCCGCGUGAGGGAUGACGGCCUUCGGGUUGUAAACCUCUUUCAGCACCGACGAAGCGCAAGUGACGGUAGGUGCAGAAGAAGGACCGGCCAACUACGUGCCAGCCGCCGCGGUAA